Molecule: ribosomal RNA, 450 nt
Filed under: uncultured bacterium
Lineage: Bacteria
Description: partial 16S ribosomal RNA
Rfam family: Bacterial small subunit ribosomal RNA
Source: RNAcentral
GUGGGGAAUUUUGGACAAUGGGCGCAAGCCUGAUCCAGCAAUGCCGCGUGCAGGAAGAAGGCCUUCGGGUUGUAAACUGCUUUUGUACGGAACGAAACGGUCCUGGCUAAUAUCCGGGGCUAAUGACGGUACCGUAAGAAUAAGCACCGGCUAACUACGUGCCAGCAGCCGCGGUAAUACGUAGGGUGCGAGCGUUCAUCGGAAUUACUGGGCGUAACGCGUGCGCAGGCGGUGCUGUAAGACAGGCGUGAAAUCCCCGGGCUCAACCUGGGAAUUGCGCUUGUGACUGCAGUGCUGGAGUGCGGCAGAGGGGGAUGGAAUUCCGCGUGUAGCAGUGAAAUGCGUAGAGAUGCGGAGGAACACCGAUGGCGAAGGCAAUCCCCUGGGCCUGCACUGACGCUCAUGCACGAAAGCGUGGGGAGCAAACAGGAUUAGAUACCCUGGUAGUCC